Molecule: long non-coding RNA, 301 nt
Organism: Mytilus californianus (California mussel)
Lineage: Eukaryota; Metazoa; Mollusca; Bivalvia; Mytilida; Mytilidae
Exons: 2
Source: RefSeq, a predicted model, not a curated record
UUAAAUUUUCGCGGCAUUUUUUACAUUUCUAUUUUAAGACAAAUUCAGAUAUGCGCAUGCGCAGUUGUUUUUGUUGCCAAAGUUUGAAUAUCCGCUUUCGAGCCCACAAGGUGAUUCUACAGAGUUUUUAUUAAAUCUUUCCUGUAUACAGCUUUUAUAUUUUAUCAUGUCAUCAUGAAGACCUAUGGAACAAGUGUCUGACCAAACAACAACCUUUCUAAAAUGGGCUCCAAAAAGACAGGGUGGGAAAAGAAAGAAGUUGAAGUUUUCACUAUUAAUAAAUAAAUUUAUUUUUAUUUUA